UUAACUCAUAUUUGUAUGGAAUGGGAUCGUUUGCCUAUGUUUGCCGCUAUGUGGGGCGCUGUUCCAAAUGCAUACAAAAUUGGGCCA
Molecule: microRNA precursor, 87 nt
Filed under: Bombyx mori (domestic silkworm)
Lineage: Eukaryota; Metazoa; Arthropoda; Insecta; Lepidoptera; Bombycidae
Description: mir-2807 microRNA precursor family
Rfam family: mir-2807 microRNA precursor family
Source: Rfam by way of RNAcentral